UUAAUUUUUUAAUUGUGAGAAACUCUUAUGAGAUACUCCCAAUGGAGAUGGUCAGUUUACCUACAAAACUUAGUUGA
This 77-nucleotide small RNA is filed under the name Arabidopsis thaliana (thale cress). Its description in RNAcentral is "ATSL218740". The record is from RNAcentral. Lineage: Eukaryota; Viridiplantae; Streptophyta; Magnoliopsida; Brassicales; Brassicaceae.